Caenorhabditis elegans is the source of this 118-nucleotide non-coding RNA. The record is from Ensembl. NCBI's taxonomy places the organism in Eukaryota, Metazoa, Nematoda, Chromadorea, Rhabditida, Rhabditidae.
UCAGGGACCGCAUUCCGCGCUUCUUUACAGUGCAGCGCUAAACCCAAAAAGAGUCGGGCGCAUGCACGUAUCAUGUGGUGUAAGCACCAAACCUUUGAUUUCACGCCCAAAUGCAGAU